CGGGAAAGUAUUGUUCACUCCUUUACAGAGCCUUCAAUUUUAUAACUAAAUAUAUUUCGUCCAUAUAAAGUAACGCGAGCAUUAUCUCUAAUAAGAUACUCAACGACACAUCAUUGUCCACGUUUAAAAUUUCAACCAGAAUUCGUAGAAAGCUUCCGAUCUAGAUGUAAUCGUAUCUAUCAAUCCACAAGCAUAAAAGUAUUGCAAAAUAAAAGUGUAUUGUAAAUUCCUCAUACAGAAGUAAGCCGUUUUCUGGUAAGCGUAUACCCGGGCAAUAAACAAGGCUCGUGUAGUCUGGGUAGAUUUUAAUAUGGACGCCCUCGCAAGCGGUUUCGCGUCCGAUCUAAAGGGGCGUUUCUUCGACCCUUUGUCAACCGACAACCGACGCCGCUGCAUCUUAUCACGAUCGAACGGAUCCCACCACUCUGAUUACAGCCAGUAAGACGCUAGCGAAAUUAUUUUAUUCACUUCGACUCGAGCAGUCAGCCGCGGAGAAAACUGGCGACGGACGAAUAGGAACGAAGAAUACUCCGCAGGCAUUUUACCGAGACGACUGUUCGACGCAACCGUUGCCCACGGCGGGACCGCGUGUGCAUCGCAGUGUAGUGCAAUGGAAAGAACAAGAAGAAAAUAUUCCUCGUGAAAGAAGCCAAGGAAGAACCCGAUGGAGGAGCCUUGGGGAGGGUUGUAUACAAUAUAAUUACAGAGGGCAACGCAGUGGCUAGACCUACUCCAGCAACCGUGGCCCAAGGCGUCAGCAUACUCGAAAUCGGCGGGCCUGCUCUGCUACGUGGAGAAACCUAAUGUAUUCGUGCCCCAGGUGUCGAUGGAAUAUCCCCUUUUGCAGGAUCCCGAAGUCUGGUGACUUCGAAGAAAGAGACGGACUAAAAAAGAUGCUAAGGAUAACAAAAUGGCGACCAAACGAAAUUGGAACAUCCAUUAGACAUUCGUAACGGCUGGACACUCGACUCGAUUGACCUAAUCGAAUCUGCUCGAUCACUACGAAAAUAACCUGACCGUAUGGAACAACGAGUGAAACGUUCUGAACUUAAAAAUUAACUGGUAAACGACCUUUGACCUUUCUCAUACGUAUCUAACCAUGCGUAAAGUUCCCGGCAAAAUGUCGGAAAUAUUCGAAAAAUUUUAGGCCACGAACCCGGAAUGGAGGCAAUCCGGUUGAUCUCAGCAACGCCCACCGCAACGCCCGUCUUGUAUUGCAUCACGAUCACACACGAUCGACGCCGCUUUUUCUACGAUGUAUAAGAUAUAAUCAAAAUUCUGGAAAAAAUAUAGUAAAACCUGUUACACGGGUUGGAGAUAGGCUGAUACUUUGUACGGGGUGGUCGCCGAAGAAUCAAUACGGAUGAUCUCAUUUAAUUGCAAUUUCAAAGUCGAUCUAUUAUUAUUUACAAUUAAAUCAUCAUUUUACACGAUCGAUAGUAAUUCGCAUUGCAUAACGAGUACUGCUAGCAUUAACCAUAAUAAUAUGUCUACAUAUAUACAAGAGCGUCCAUAUUAAAUUUUUUCAAAUUUAUAUUCCUUUCCAUUUCCGAACACUAUAUAUAUAUACACAACACUAUAUACACACCUAUUUAUCUUAUGCGCAUAACAAUAAAGGCA
Molecule: long non-coding RNA, 1620 nt
Organism: Cephus cinctus (wheat stem sawfly)
Lineage: Eukaryota; Metazoa; Arthropoda; Insecta; Hymenoptera; Cephidae
Exons: 4
Source: RefSeq, a predicted model, not a curated record